This 520-nucleotide ribosomal RNA is filed under the name uncultured bacterium. Its description in RNAcentral is "partial 16S ribosomal RNA". It matches the Rfam family "Bacterial small subunit ribosomal RNA", at positions 28 to 507 of the family's 1533-position model. The record is from RNAcentral.
GACGAACGCUGGCGGCGUGCCUAAUACAUGCAAGUCGAACGCACUCUCGGUUCGUUUGCCGGGGUUUGCUCCUGGUUGGUAGACUUUUGCGUGGGUGGCUGCCGGGUGGGUAGCGCUUGGGUCACGUGCCCGGCGGUGGUGGCUCACAUUUGGAGACGGAUGCUGAUACCGCAUAUAACCUAACACCGCAUGAUGUGGGGUUGGGAGAUGGUUUCGGCUUUCACUUUUGGAUGGACCCGCGGUGCAUUAGCUAGUUGGUGGGGUAAAGGCUCACCAAGGCCGCGAUGCAUAGCCGGCCUGAGAGGGUAAUCGGCCACACUGGAACUGAGACACGGCCCAGACUCCUACGGGAGGCAGCAGUGGGGAAUAUUCCACAAUGGACGAAAGUCUGAUGCAGCCACGCCGCGUGAGUGAAGAAGGUCUUCGGAUCGUAAAACACUGUAGUUGGAGAAGAAGGGAACUAAUAGUAAAUGAUCAGGUAGUGACGGUACCAAAACAGAAAGCCCCGGCUAACUACGUG